RNAcentral lists this ribosomal RNA (270 nucleotides) under uncultured archaeon. RNAcentral's name for it is "partial 16S ribosomal RNA". It matches the Rfam family "Bacterial small subunit ribosomal RNA", at positions 524 to 794 of the family's 1533-position model. The record is from RNAcentral.
UACGAGGGGGGCGAGCGUUGUUCGGAAUCACUGGGCGUAAAGAGUGCGUAGGCGGUUAUGAAAGUUAGGAGUGAAAGCCCAGGGCUUAACCCUGGAAUUGCUCUUAAAACUACAUAACUCGAAUUCGGGAGAGGAUAGCGGAAUUGUCAGUGUAGCAGUGAAAUGCGUAGAUAUUGACAGGAACACCAGUGGCGUAAGCGGCUAUCUGGACCGACAUUGACGCUGAGGCACGAAAGCGUGGGGAUCAAACAGGAUUAGAAACCCUGUAGU